Molecule: ribosomal RNA, 568 nt
Filed under: Salmonella enterica subsp. enterica serovar Enteritidis
Lineage: Bacteria; Pseudomonadati; Pseudomonadota; Gammaproteobacteria; Enterobacterales; Enterobacteriaceae
Description: partial 23S ribosomal RNA
Rfam family: Bacterial large subunit ribosomal RNA
Source: RNAcentral
UAUUCUGUAGCAAGGUUAACCGAAUAGGGGAGCCGGAGGGAAACCGAGUCUUAAUUGGGCGUUAAGUUGCAGGGUAUAGACCCGAAACCCGGUGAUCUAGCCAUGGGCAGGUUGAAGGUUGGGUAACACUAACUGGAGGACCGAACCGACUAAUGUUGAAAAAUUAGCGGAUGACCUGUGGCUGGGGGUGAAAGGCCAAUCAAACCGGGAGAUAGCUGGUUCUCCCCGAAAGCUAUUUAGGUAGCGCCUCGUGAAUUCAUCUCCGGGGGUAGAGCACUGUUUCGGCUAGGGGGCCAUCCCGGCUUACCAACCCGAUGCAAACUGCGAAUACCGGAGAAUGUUAUCACGGGAGACACACGGCGGGUGCUAACGUCCGUCGUGAAGAGGGAAACAACCCAGACCGCCAGCUAAGGUCCCAAAGUCAUGGUUAAGUGGGAAACGAUGUGGGAAGGCCCAGACAGCCAGGAUGUUGGCUUAGAAGCAGCCAUCAUUUAAAGAAAGCGUAAUAGCUCACUGGUCGAGUCGGCCUGCGCGGAAGAUGUAACGGGGCUAAACCAUGCACCGAAGC